UCUAACGGGUGAGCCUGAGCGCUCCACGAGAAUAUGUUCUGCACCGCGCCCCAACCGCUGCGCCCGCGGCCGCGGCCGCUCUGGCCCGCGCCACGAUGCUCCAGCUCCGACAACUCCCAGCCCUCGCCGCCGCCGCCCUCCACCGCGGCGGCCGGCGGCAUCCGUCGCCUGGUGCUCCCGCCCGAGGGCCGCGCGAAGCUGGACCCGCGCCCCGACCGCGACUUCUACGGGUUCCCGCGGCUCGUGACGCACGUGGACGACGGCUUCAUCGCCGCGCUCACGGGCCUCUACCGGGAGCGCCUCCGCGCCGGGUGGGACGUGCUCGACCUCAUGAGCUCCUGGGUCAGCCACCUGCCGCCGGAGGUCCGGUUCCGCCGCGUAGUCGGCCACGGGCUCAACGCGCAGGAGCUCGCCAGGAACCCGCGCCUGGACUCCUUCUUCGUCAAGGACCUCAACGAGGAGCAGCAGCUCGCGCUCGAGGGCAGCUUCGACGCCGUGCUCUGCACCGUCAGCGUGCAGUACCUGCAGUACCCUGAAAAGGUCUUCGCGGAGAUCUUCCGGGUGCUGAAGCCGGGGGGAGUGUGCAUCGUGAGCUUCAGCAACCGGAUGUUCUACGAGAAGGCGAUCGGCGCGUGGCGCGAGGGCACCGCGUCCAGCCGCGUCCAGCUCGUGAUGCAGUACUUCCAGUGCGUGGAGGGGUUCACGCAGCCCGAGGUGGUCAGGGAGCUGCCGGCGGCCGGCGGGUCGUCGGCGUCGCCGUUGGACGCCGUGCUGAGGUUGUUCGGCAUGGCCAGCUCCGACCCGUUCAACGCCGUCAUCUCGUACAGGAACUUCAAGCCAAUGUGAAAGCCAUAGAUAGAGUACUGAAACUUUUGCCCAUCGAUAGAUUACUGAAACUUUUGCCGGUACUGGGGGAUCUGUUCCAUCUGUACAAUGAUCAGGUAGUACCGAGAAAGAUACUAUGUCUGUAUCAGGUGGAGAUCAACUGAAAGUUCAGAAGCUGAGAUAUCAUACACCGAACAACGGACUCAGACAUAUACUGGGAACCCAUUUUAUUGCAGAAA
Panicum virgatum (switchgrass) is the source of this 1064-nucleotide RNA transcript. RefSeq lists it as uncharacterized. The record is from RefSeq and is a predicted model, not a curated record. The transcript has 3 exons. Lineage: Eukaryota; Viridiplantae; Streptophyta; Magnoliopsida; Poales; Poaceae.